AUUAAGCCAUGCAUGUCUCAGUACAGACCGAUAAACGGUGAAACCGCGAAUGGCUCAUUAAAUCAGUCGUAAUUUACUGGAUCUCGAUCCAGUCUUACUUGGAUAACUGUGGUAAUUCUAGAGCUAAUACAUGCAACCGAGCUCCGACCCCGUUUCGGCGGGUAAAGGGCGCAUUUAUUAGACCAAAAACCGAUCCGCCCCCUCGACGGGGCGGUCGUGGUGACUCUGAAUAACUCAGCCGAGCGCUACGGUCCCUGGACCAGCGCCGUAUCCUCCGAGUGUCUGCCUUAUCAGCUCUAUCGUAAGCUAUGGGCUUACGAUGGCUGUAACGGGUAACGGGGAAUCAGGGUUCGAUUCCGGAGAGGGAGCCUGAGAAACGGCUACCACAUCUAAGGAAGGCAGCAGGCACGCAAAUUACCCACUCCCGGCUCGGGGAGGUAGUGACGAAAAAUACCGAUGCGGGACUCUUCCGAGGCCUCGCCAUCGGAUUGAGCUCAACCUAAAUCCUUGGACGAGAUUCCAUUGGAGGGCAAGUCUGGUGCCAGCAGCCGCGGUAAUUCCAGCUCCAAUAGCAUAUAUUAAAGUUGCUGCGGUUAAAAAGCUCAUAGUUGGAUCUGUCGUCCGAACUGGCGGCCCGCUUAGGGCUAGACCACCGUCGUUGGGCCUUAUAACCCUUCGGCUUGCGUCUGGCCUGGCGGUAAACUGUCCAGCUUCGGAUCGUAAAAUCCGCCGGCGAGCGAGGGAUGCCUAACCGUGUCCCGAGCGCCCCGGCAAGUUCACUUUGAAUAAAUUAGAGUGCUCAAAGCAGGCAAAAACUCACGCCUGGAUGGUGGUGCAUGGAAUGAUGGAACAGGACCUCGGUUCUGCCCUGUUUUGUUGGUCGGUUUCUUCGGAACCGAGGUAAUGAUUAAAAGAAACAGACGGGGGCAUUCGUAUUGCGACGCUAGAGGUGAAAUUCUUGGACCGUCGCAAGACGAACUACUGCGAAAGCAUUUGCCAAGAAUGUUUUCAUUAAUCAAGAACGAAAGUUAGAGGAUCGAAGGCGAUCAGAUACCGCCCUAGUUCUAACCGUAAACGAUGCUACCUGGCGAUCCGCCGGCGUCAUACCCACGACUCGGCGGGGAGCCUCCGGGAAACCAAAGGUUUCGAGUUCCGGGGGAAGUAUGGUUGCAAAGCUGAAACUUAAAGGAAUUGACGGAAGGGCACCACCAGGAGUGGAGCCUGCGGCUUAAUUUGACUCAACACGGGUAAACUUACCAGGUCCAGACACNCNGAAANGGAUUGACAGAUUAAGAGCUCUUUCUUGAUACGGUGGGUGGUGGUGCAUGGCCGUUUUUAGUUGGUGGAGCGAUCUGUCUGGUUGAUUCCGAUAACGAACGAGACUCUGCCCUACUAAAUAGUCGUCGAAUCGACUCCCGAGAAGGGGGCAGCGGGUGCCGUCUCUUCUUGGCUCGAAUAGAUCGUUCUCGUCGACGCUUCGUAUCGUUUCUCAGGUGCUCGUUCGCUCGGUUGCCUCUAUCUCUUUUCUAAGAUUUAGUGUGACGUCGACGAGUUUAAUGAGGGGCGUGCGGAUGUCGUUCGCGCGUGGAGCACUUUCGAUGUUCUAGAGAGUAACGUCCCCGUUUGCUUUCCCGACGAGGGGCGUUCGUCGCAAAUGUCUUCUUACAGGGAUCGGCGGCGUUUAGUCGCACGAAAUGGAGCAAAAACAGGUCUGUGAUGCCCUUAGAUGUUCUGGGCCGCACGCGCGCUACAAUGAAGGGCGCANCGUGCUAUCCCCCUCCGAAAGGANUGGGUAAUCCCUUGAAACCCCUUCCCGAUUGGGAUUGGNNNNNNAAAAUGUUUCCCAUGAACNANGAAUUCCUAGUAAGUGCGAGUCAUCAGCUCGCGCUGAUUAAGUCCCUGCCCUUUGUACACACCGCCCGUCGCUACUACUGAUUGAAUGAUUCAGUGAGGGCAUCGGACUGGCGCCCUCGGUAGCUCUCGAGUCGCUUUCGAGCACUCGUUCGGCACCUCGGGCUGACGGAAAGAUGUCCGAACUCGAUUAUUUAGAGGAAGUAAAAGUCGUAACAAGGUUUCCGU
Molecule: ribosomal RNA, 2079 nt
Filed under: Platysympus tricarinatus
Lineage: Eukaryota; Metazoa; Arthropoda; Malacostraca; Cumacea; Lampropidae
Description: SSU rRNA
Rfam family: Eukaryotic small subunit ribosomal RNA
Source: RNAcentral